CCUACGGGUGGCAGCAGUGAGGAAUAUUGGUCAAUGGACGAGAGUCUGAACCAGCCAAGUAGCGUGAAGGAUGACUGCCCUAUGGGUUGUAAACUUCUUUUAUAUGGGAAUAAAAUGUUCCACGUGUGGGAUUUUGUAUGUACCCUAUGAAUAAGGAUCGGCUAACUCCGUGCCAGCAGCCGCGGUAAUACGGAGGAUCCGAGCGUUAUCCGGAUUUAUUGGGUUUAAAGGGAGCGUAGGUGGAGUGUUAAGUCAGUGGUGAAAGUAUGCGGCUCAACCGUAAAAUUGCAGUUGAAACUGGCAGUCUUGAGUACAGUAGAGGUAGGCGGAAUGCGUGGUGUAGCGGUGAAAGGCUUAGAUAUCGCGAAGAACUCCGAUUGCGAAGGCAGCGCACUGGACUGCAACUGACACUGAGGCACGAAAGUGUGGGUAUCAAACAGGAUUAGAUACCCUUGUAGUC
Molecule: ribosomal RNA, 460 nt
Filed under: uncultured bacterium
Lineage: Bacteria
Description: partial 16S ribosomal RNA
Rfam family: Bacterial small subunit ribosomal RNA
Source: RNAcentral